Molecule: long non-coding RNA, 1268 nt
Filed under: Homo sapiens (human)
Lineage: Eukaryota; Metazoa; Chordata; Mammalia; Primates; Hominidae
Description: non-protein coding LINC02018:22
Source: RNAcentral
GUUGGCGGGUCCUGGGGCGGAGUCAGGAUAGGGCGAUCCUGGAAGCUGGGCUUCAGAAGCGUCCAGAUAGGGUCUCUCUCUCUGCCACCCAGGCCAGAGUGCAGUUGACGCAGGGCAGGGGAGCCCCGAAGUGGAGCAUAGUGUGUCCGGAACUGGUGGGUUCUUGGUCUCACUGACUUCAAGAAUGAAGCCGUGGACCCUCACGAGACAGGGUUUCACCAUGUUGGCCAGGCUUGUCUUGAACUCCUGACGUCGUGAUCUGCCUGCUUUGGCCUCCCAAAGUCCUGGGAUUACAGGCAUGAGCCACCGUACCCAGCCACUCUUGAUUAACUUAAUGGAAAUAUUUACAGAGAUUCUUUCUCUUCUGGGUUCUAGCGUCUUAUCUGUAACCUCUGCAGGUGCAGGAAUGAGAGGCAGCAGCCGGGGAAGCCAGGGUCUCCGGAAGUCCUUGUCUCUGGGCGGUGAUCCAGAGAGAGAGAGAGAACACGAUUGUCUCAGCAAUGGGUCUUCUUCUGAGUCUUGAAGGAGCACUUCCAGAGCCUCUCAGUGUUAAACAUCGUGUUGUGAAUGACUCCGUGAGCUCUGACCCAGUGACCUUGGGGAUAAAGGAGGGGAGGUACGGAUAAGCUCUUCGAAUGGAUGUUGCCGGGGUGUCAGUGUUCUUUGAGGGCACAGACUAUGUGUCACUAAAGAAAGAGCCCAGUGCCUUUUCUCAUUGCUCAAGAGAUUGAAGGGGUAGUAAGAAAAGAUGUUAAGUUAUAAACACGUUUCAGUUUUGGUACCAGUUGAACCAAUUUACGUUUUGAAGAGGAAAGAGUCUUGCCUACAAUGUCAGCCCCCGGGUUUUCCUUCUGCUUAUGGAAUCCAGGCAAUGGGCAAAGAGAAAAAGAAAACUAAGGAAUCAGCCAGGUGCAGUGGCUCAUGCUUGUGAUCUUGGCACUUUGGGAAGCUGAGGCAGGUGGACUUCUUGAGUGCAGCAGUUCAAGACCAGCCUGGCCAACAUAGUGAGACCCCGUUUCUACAAAAAAUACAAAAAGUUGCUGAGCAUGGUGACAUGCACCUGUAGUCCCAGUUACUUGGGAGGCUGAGGUGGGAGAACUACUUCAUCCCAGGAGGCUGAGGCUGCAGCGAGCCAUGAUCGUGCCACUAUACUCCUGCCUGGGUGGCAGAGUGAGGCCCUGUCUCAAAAGAAAACAAAAAAGAUAAAAAGAAAACUAGGGAAUCUAGACAGCAUAAGUUUAUAUAUAUAAUAAAGAACUGAGAUAGAA